Non-coding RNA from Parasteatoda tepidariorum (common house spider), 3967 nucleotides. Lineage: Eukaryota; Metazoa; Arthropoda; Arachnida; Araneae; Theridiidae. The record is from RefSeq and is a predicted model, not a curated record.
AAAGUGAAGUCAAUGCGCCAUUUUCAAAUUUCUGAAAAAGUUAUAGUAUAUUAGAAAAGGAUAGCCCAAAAUAAACAUGCAUCCAGGUUACAACAGUAUUUGAACCCACUAUCUCUACUCUUCAGUGCAUUUUGUUGUUUCCCAUCUAAAACAGCUGUGCUGUUUUUUUAUUUUAUUUCAUUUAUUCAGAUGCAUGUGCAGGCCUGCGUAUUUAAGACAAAGCCUAUGGGACCUGUCUAAUUGAAGAAAGGAUAGCAUGAAGACACAUCUAGGGUUUCUACAGGUUUCGAACCCGCUACCUACACACUUCAGAGCGUUUGAGGGCUUUCCGGGUAUUGACAUCUGAUCCUUUUCUUACCCCUAGUCCUUUUGUCUGUAUCGGAAAAAAAAUUGAAAUAAAUAAAUAAGUUUUCAGAGCAUGCCAGCGCACAGCGACAAAAGAAAGUUUUGUUAAUCUUUUAACUUGGUAACUGUUAGUCCUGUUUUGACACACAAGCAGCCAUAUGUAUGUGUAACAAUAAAAAUUUUUAAAAAGAAUCAUAUUUUUGAUCAUUUUUAAUUUUUAAAUUCGCAAUUUAAGUUAAAAUCAUCGAUUGUUAAACUACUAUGGUGCCUGAAAGGAGAAAGAUCUUUGUCUGAUGGACUUUAGAACAUGCAUUCUUUUCGAUUUAAUCAUCAGUUUUUCUUCGAUUUUGGAGGUUGGAAACAUCAUAACAAGCAAGAAUCGUGAACGCCAUGCAAACGAGUUACAUGCCAACAAACCAUUCAUUCGAAAUUCCUUCUCGAACAUUAUCAGUCGUGCCGUCAUCACAUCGUUGCGAAGUGUGUCUUCAAGUACGUUUGUUUGCGACAAUAUAUCCCAGUAUGAUUCUCACUUGAUAUCAAGUACCUGAUAAACAUGCAGAUUUUUAAACAAUAGUUUCGUGUAUAUUAUUUGGAUAUUAUAACACAAUACCCAAAGCAUGGCAGUUAUUUAAUUUUACUUAAAAGAACCCAUUGUAUGGCCGUCUCGUCUGCAUUGUGCUUGCGACCGUUAGGAUUGUUGGUUGUAAUCAUGCCCCGGAUGCUGAUUUACAAUCCAGUGGCUUUCAACCACUCGUACAAUUUUUUUUUUGUGGGGAGAUUUUUGCAGUUGUCGCAAUUAUAAUGAAAGCUUUUAUUUCUUUUAAAAUUUGUUACCCCAACUAAAAAGUCAAGAAUCAAGUUUUUUUUAACUUUAUUUUCAAAAAAAAAUGCUAAACCGGAUAGUGGGUUGUUAAAUGCCGCUGAAUUGGAAAAUCGCGCCUCGCACCUUACAUAUAAAAAUUUUGAAAAAUAGUUCUGAAUGACCCUGUGUAUUACUUGUAUAUUACGCUAUUUAUUGUAUGUUAUUUGUAUAUUAUUUGAGUAUUUUUAACACAAUACCCAUAACAUGUCAAUUGUUUCGUUUUACGAAAAAGAACACAUAAAUAUGUUCGUUCAGUACAUUAAUUUAACUAUAUUGUAUUUAUUAUGAUAGUAAAUUGUAAUUUUUCACAGUAUUUUGUUUAAACUAAUAUUGUAACGUGCAAAAGUAAUGAAGUUUCUAUUAGAUUUGUCAGAAGUAUUUUCGUUUCUUCUAGUUUUUUUUUUUUUCUUCGAGUGCCUAACAAUAAAUUUUGUAACAUCUUUGGCAGCUUAAGUAGCAGAAAAAUAUAAAACUUUUUAUCUUUAUAACCAUCAUAUUAUGGAUCAUUGGCUUAAGCAUCAUCAUCAUUUCAUUUGUUGAAACAUGUAAAUAAUAAUGUAUCAUCAUUACAUCUUUUCAUUUAAAUUUAUCUGUCAUCUGAUGAUGUUGUCAUAAUUGAGAAAUACAUACCUGGAAAAAAAAAUUAUUUAGUUACUAUUAUUCUAUGCAAAAGAAACAAGAUCAGGAAUUAAAUGUUUUCCCUAAAAAUUAAUCCGUAAUUAUACGCUGUUAGGAUUUUCAUUCUAAAAUUAUUGUAAAAUUACCGACAGCAGUCAGUCCAUCCAAUUAAUCAUAAGUUUACGAUAAGAAACAUUUUUUACCUUUAUGGUUUUGAAACCGCUUACAAUUAAUUAGUACGGUUAAAAAACCAUGAAUACAAAACUACACGUUUUUUUUAACCAUUUACAACUAGCAUGGUUCCAAAACUGUAGAAAGGAUAUUUAACUGGACAAAGGAGUUAGACUUUUCGUUGGGUAAUGGACAUUGGAGAAUGCAGGUCAGUGGAAACUCAUGUGUUGAAGAUAAUGGAGGAAAUAUUGUAGUGUCAACACUGGGAUUCGAACCCCGGUUCUGUCUGUCAUCAGUCUAGCAGAUUUGCCAGCAGGGCUAUAAUAUGCACGCAAAUGCAAGGAUCUAAGUGGCUUCAUCAGGUGAGCUUAGUUGGUGCCAUAAAAUUCUGGUUGUUUAACCGUAUUAGACGAAAGUAGUUAAUGAGCGAUUUUUCUCACAGUUAACAGUUUGAUUACCAUCUUAUUUAUGGUUAUUUGACUGCUUUGUUCGAAUACAGUAAAAUAACAAUUAAAUAAAUUGUUAUUUAACUAUUUUGUAAGAGAAAUUUCUAACAGUGUAGUUACCAUUCAAAUUUGGCUCGCGGAAAUUACCAACGCAUUUUUGGAAAAUUUAUUUGAUUUAUUUAAGCUGAUUGUAAACCUUUUUAACCACUUUAAGCCUUGAAAAGCUUUUUGUAAUUCUAUUUUAUCCACAACCCUCAGCCUCAACCGUUUUUUAUCUUUUGAUUUACCUAUCAUAUUUACGAAACACAAUUUUUUUGUAAGAUUUGGAUCAUGAAUAUUUAUUAUUAAUAUUUAAAAGGGAAAAAAAAGCUAAAUUCAAAUUACAUUAUGCUCCAGAUCAAUCUGAUUAUUGUGAUUUUUGGUCAAUGCUCCAAUAGGUUAGAGUUUCCGAAUUUGAUGACCAAAAACUGAUUAUUUCAGAUUUCAAAUUGGUUUACAAGCUUAUUUUUGAAGGCUCUAUGAAAUAACCUUAAUUUUUUUUCUAUUUUUAGCUAGCGCCCCAUAUUUUAAUCAUGAAAAUGGUGCAAAAGACCAGUAUAAGGAAAAGCCAUAGAUUUUUUUUUAAAAAUAAAUCGCGUUUGUAAUGUAAUUUUUAGCGUUUGAAAAGUUACUCCUCUACUACAUUGUUUGCACUUAUAAAUAAUACAAAAAUUGUGUAUAAAUCAUCGAUAUCGCAUCAUUGUGGGAAAUCUCACCAAAUUGUCAUCUUUUCAAAAAAGUUUUAAAACUGACAAGUGCUUUAAAUAUUUAAAAAAUUGUUUAAGUCCAGACAGUUUUUUUCUCCAAAAUAAUAUAUUUAGUUUAAAAUUAAAGCUUUGCAUUAAGUUUAAGGCACUUAACCUGUUGUUGCAUUUUCAAUUUUCCUUGAAGAAUGCUUCGAAAAUAAUUCUAAUAUAAUAUACUUAUAUAUAUAUUACGAAAACAAUUAUAAAAAAGAAGAUUGUGUAAUAUCAGGUAGACUAGGUUGAAUUUCAUUACACCUUUUGCAUAGAAUAAUAUAGCAACUAGAGAAUUACUGAUAUAUUUUAAGACAAAUCCUAUAUUUUCUCAGGAUUCCUCGGUUGUGUUACAUAUUUAUUACAUUUAUUUUAUAAUUUUUCUGUGUCAAAGAAGCCUCGGCCAUAGAACUAUACAUGCAAAUCAUCUCUACUAAACAAAGUGGCGCCAAGUGAAAUUGUACUUUCUAAUAGACAUCGAAAAGAUACCGUUAUUGGACGGGCAAUUUCAAGUACUUUUUGUACUGGCCCAUGGCGCAUCAAAGUAUUUAUACGUUAACUGGCAUGCUCUCUCUCCCGCUAAAGCUACAUGGAGCAAACACUAUUUGAAGUCAUACAUAGAACUGGACUACAAAUACCCAUGGCAUGAUAUGGCAUAUAUGUAUGUUUAACAAGGUUCAAGACUUGUUUAAUAAGUGCUGUUUUGUUCAAUUUUCUGAAAGCAUGUAAUUAAAGAGAAUUUUAUUGUC